CGCGACCCCCCGCGUGGCGACGUCCCGUAAACCCCCCAGGGCCGGAAGGCAGCAAGGGUACCCGGGCUCCGUCGGGUGCGCGGGGGGUCACUUUC
Molecule: signal recognition particle RNA, 95 nt
Filed under: Actinomycetes bacterium
Lineage: Bacteria; Bacillati; Actinomycetota; Actinomycetes
Also listed under: 1 other name
Description: Actinobacteria bacterium (activated sludge metagenome) signal recognition particle sRNA small type
Rfam family: Bacterial small signal recognition particle RNA
About the family: The signal recognition particle (SRP) is a universally conserved ribonucleoprotein involved in the co-translational targeting of proteins to membranes. Archaeal SRP consists of a 7S RNA and homologues of the eukaryotic SRP19 and SRP54 proteins.
Source: RNAcentral